RNAcentral lists this ribosomal RNA (337 nucleotides) under Borreliella garinii. Its description in RNAcentral is "bacterial SSU rRNA". It matches the Rfam family "Bacterial small subunit ribosomal RNA", at positions 37 to 375 of the family's 1533-position model. The record is from RNAcentral. Lineage: Bacteria; Pseudomonadati; Spirochaetota; Spirochaetia; Spirochaetales; Borreliaceae.
UGGCAGUGCGUCUUAAGCAUGCAAGUCAAACGGGAUGUAGCAAUACAUCUAGUGGCGAACGGGUGAGUAACGCGUGGAUGAUCUACCUACGAGAUGGGGAUAACUAUUAGAAAUAGUAGCUAAUACCGAAUAAAGUCAAUUAAUUUGUUAAUUGAUGAAAGGAAGCCUUUAAAGCUUCGCUUGUAGAUGAGUCUGCGUCUUAUUAGCUAGUUGGUAGGGUAAAUGCCUACCAAGGCGAUGAUAAGUAACCGGCCUGAGAGGGUGAACGGUCACACUGGAACUGAGAUACGGUCCAGACUCCUACGGGAGGCAGCAGCUAAGAAUCUUCCGCAAUGGG